This is a long non-coding RNA of Phyllostomus discolor (pale spear-nosed bat), 4242 nucleotides long. RefSeq lists it as uncharacterized. The transcript is spliced from 2 exons. The record is from RefSeq and is a predicted model, not a curated record. Lineage: Eukaryota; Metazoa; Chordata; Mammalia; Chiroptera; Phyllostomidae.
ACUCAUUAUUCCCCCGGAGCCGGGCGCCGCCCCGCCGGCCGAACCUGUCCCGCGAGGCGCGGCGCGGCCGUGGGGCUGGGCGGGCCCGGCGCGGCCCCCGCCCCGGAGCCCCCGCCCUCUGGCCCCCGCCCGGCCCGGGGCGCCCGGCACGGCACCCCCUCCCUGCACCCUCCGCCCGGGAGCCCGCGCCCCGCCCGCCCCCGGCCCCGCCGCCGCGCCGCCGCCCGAGCCCGGGGGGAAGGAAGGGCGGCGCUGCCCGCUCCGGGCGUCACAGGGCUGCAGCCCGCUGCGCCGCUUCCAAAACACACAGCCGGGCUCGCGGGCGAGCCGAGGCGGGGCGGGGGUGGGGAGAGGGGACCGGGGCCGGCCGGGGCCAUCAAUCAGCCGGCACCGGCGGGGAGGGCGGCCCUGGGCGCGGCGGGAAGGGCUGGGCCCCGCAGCCAGCGCGGCCCCUCCUGCACCUAGUGCAUAGAACUCUCUUAAAGAAAAAGCAGGAAAAAGCACGGGUGGCGAAGGGGCGGGCGGACCUGGGCAGAUUCGGGAAGGAAGGAGCCGCGGGGAAAGGGAGGGCACUUGGGGUGACUGAAACCCUACAGAGGUCCCGAGUUUCCAAGGUCAUCCCACUUUCUGUGAGCAAGCUUCUUUGUCCCCGGGGCGCAGGGUCCCCUUCGUCGCCCCCCCCGCCCCCGGAGGGAUGGCCUGAGUGGCGCACCCCGCCUCCCAGGGUUUUUCUUUGAAGGCCCGAGACCCCCGAAGCAAACUUCCCACGGGCCUGGCCUGCCACUGGAGCGAGAAGGCGGCCGGUAGCAGCGGCGUUUGCUGAGCCGGGCCUGCCUGAAAACUUGGCAAACUUCGCUCCGGAUCCUCCCGCCCGGAGGGAGAACUCCGGGUGAGCUGAGGGUUCUGUCCCGCAGCCUUUCGUUUCUCGCCGCUUCCCUGGGACCGAGCGCAAGGGUGCGCGAUGGCCACAGGGCGAUGGCCUUCACAGCGCUCCGCGCCGGGCGGCGGAAACCCGCGUUCGGGCCAAGCCGGGCCCUGUGGAGGACUUUGUAUAUAGCGUGGCACCCGAGUUCAAUGCUUUUCGAGUUUUUUUUUAAACAGGAUUAAUGUAAUAAUGCAAUAAAAAAAGAACAAAAGACAAAUUGGUUCAAUUGUUUUAGUCCUGUGCAAUGUUUAAAAACGCCCCUGCUUCAGUCUAUGGCUCGUUAUUGCUUCAAGAUGUGUUAAAGGCCCUUUAAGCUCACCAUUCUCACUUUGAUGCUCCAUCCAGGCGUGGGACUACUUAACACAUAGAGAUAGAGCAUAUUCGGAACCUCAUCAUGUAGCUAUACGGUGACGUAAAAUUACUACCGGUAACCUCAAGUAGUAGAAUUGCAGAUGGUACAAAAGGCACAUGAAAGACCACAUGGAGAACACCCAGAACUGACACUGGUUCGUGUGCUAUCCUGCUGUCUCUCAAGAGUAAUCUUUAAAUGGAAAGACAUGAGGGUUUUUUUUUUUUUUUUAACGAAUAAAAUACAAAUGCAAGGGGGGGAGUUGAAUUCGUGUCAAUUACUAAUUGCAGUUCAUUGAUCGCUGACUUCUUGAAAUGUCUGAUCGGAUGUCUUACAUUUGUAUUAGCUGGAAAACUUUUGUUAGCUGGAAUCUAACUUUUGACUGCUGGAAUCACUUCACAUUUUGGUGCCUGCCUCACAGUAGGGGCUCAAAAAAUACAGGCUUUGCUCAAGGGACAGAAUGAUAGAAACCUGAAGCACAGAAGCCAUGUUUUCUACGUGGUUCCUGAGGGUGUGGAUCCAAAGGAGAAGCUUGAAAUGGGUCUGUCUGAGAAAAGUGGCAGUGGUUUUGGCAUGAAGGAAGCGGAGGAGGAGGAGGAGAAAAGUCAUCCAAAAGGUGAAUUAACGAACACAGUUUGUGUUCAGGGCCCUGUGGGAGGCUGCUCAAACAACUCGUACAGAAAGGAAGCCAUCCAGGGAAGGGUACCCCCAGUGCCCAUCCAGAGCCACCCGAAGUCGCCCUGGCCUCCUCCCCGCUCCAAGCAGUCACAGCCCUGUUAUGCCCUGAGUCUUGGACCUCCCCUGUCACUGCCCACUCCUCGGCUGCUGUCCUGGUCCAGCCUGUUGCCACAGUGACUUGUUGGUCAUCCUGUUUGUAGCAUGGCUGAAGUGUGGGAAUCGCAGCAAAGGAACAAGAAUACCUUCUCUAAAAUGCAAACUGACCACGUCAAUCCCGUCCAUGACUUCCCUCCAGACAGAGCCCAAGAGUGUACCACUGAGCUGACCUGGCCUUGUGCUGUCGUGGUAGGUUCCUCUCUCCCUGUUCUCCCCGCCCACUCUUCUCCAGCAACACAGAGCUUUCCUUUGCUUUUUCCAACUCUGUCUUCCCACCUCUGACCCUUCUUUGCUCAUGUUCAUUUUUCUAGGUGGGCUAGCCUUGCCUUCUCCCCCAACUCCUGACCGCCACCCUCAUUUCCCUAAAUUCUAUUCAUUGUUGAAAUGCUGUGUGAAAUGAUAUUUUCAACGAAAUAUAGCUUCUUUUAUUACCAUCCCUCACCUCACCUUUGGAUGACUAGAGGCCCUCCUUCUCGGUACUCCGAUGGCUCCCAUGGUUCACCUCUUGUGCCAUUAUUUAUUUUUUUCUUGUAACUGGCUACUACUCUCUAUGGCACUGAAAUAUAAACUCUGUGCAUGGCCCUUGUCUUUUCAGCCAAAUUGUAUUCCCAUGACCCAGGUGUUCAAUGAAUAUUGGUAAAAUAAAUAAAUGCGAGCUGCAAAUUGAGAAGUCCUUCACAUCUAAAAAGAAGAGAGGAAGCUUCAGGGUGGCAAGCGACCAUGAACUAGACCUUUGAAAUGGUGAAGAGGAGGAAAGAGGGAGCUCCCCUCACUGAAGGUUUUUAAGCGGUAGAAUGCAAUGGUGAGAGGGGCGCCUAGGUCUCCUUUUUAUCCAUGACACUCACACAGUGCCUGGCGCACGUGCAGUGUGUGGUAAAUCCUGGGUAAAUGAAAUAUCUCCAGCUUGGUCUUUGGAACUGCUCUGCUCCUGUUCUUCGAGGACAGGAGGCCGGUCUGCUUGAGGUUUUGGGGAGCAGAUGCUCGGGAAAGGACACCCCUCCUAACCAGUCUCUGCAGUCCCAGUCCCUUCUGCCCCGACUGGGAGGAGAGUAGAUAUGUGACAGGGUUCUGGCCAGGGGGACCUGAAGGGAAGUGUGCUGGGACUUAUGGGAAAUAUUUUUCUUCCCAAUAAAAGGAAACUCUUACGAAGAUAACCCCCCGGACCUGCUUUGAAGUUAUGUGAGCAUGUGGUGCUUGAAGCGUUGGCAGCCAUCUUGCCGUCAUGAGAGUGCUCUCGGUGAUCUGUCUCACUUCAACAGCGUUUGGACAGAAGGGACCCAGGGACCCGCCUUUCACCAGCCUCUGACCCCUCUCCAGCCUCAUCUCAAGUCUCCACUUUGAGAACCGUUUCAGCCACCCUGGGCCUCUAAGACCAGCCAACACCUUUUUUUGGGGGGGGGGUGGGGGGGUGGGGACGACUUAAUUCCUUAUUGCUGAGCAACCAUGAGCUCCCAGAUUUGUUAGAAUUAUUCCGCUAAGGUGAAGGCCACCAUCAACUGCCUGAUCACUCUGCACCUGUGGGCCUCCUACCCCUACCUCUGCCUGGGCUUCUGUUUUGACUGAGACAGUGUGGCUCUGGAGGGUGUGGGCCCCUUCUUCACCAAGCUGGCAGAGGAGCAGAGGCAGGGCACCUGGUGUCUCUUGAGGGUGCAAAACCAGUGCAGCAGCCGCACCCUCUUCUAGGAUUUGCAGAAGCCUCCCAUGAUGAGUGAGGCAAUAAAUAAAACGCAGGAUGCCAGGGAGUCUGCCACGGUGCUGGAGAACCUGGACCAGGCCCUCUGGGACCUGCAGGCCCUGGGGUCUACCUGCACAGACCCUCACCUUGUGACUUCCUGGAGAACCACUUCCUGGAAGAGCAGGUGAAACCCAUCAAGAAGAUGGGCGACCACCUGACUACCAUCAGCAGGUUGGCCGGUCCCAGGCUGGGCUGGGUGAGUAACUCGUCCAAAAGCUCACCUGCAAGCCCGGCUAGGAGUCUUUGGAGCCCAGAGGCCUUUGAGGGUCCCCCUGCACCCCCCUGGUGUCUGACUUCUGCCCGGAGCCUCUCCCUGCGACCACUAGGCCGGCUUUUAACCACCCGGAGCCCUCCCCCGUGCCUUGGACCAAAUGGAAACCAUAAAGCUUUUUGCAGGAG